GGGGUUGUAGCUCAGCGGUAGAGCGCUCGCCUAGCAUGUGUGAGGCCCUGGGUUUGAUCCUUAGCACCA
Molecule: transfer RNA, 69 nt
Filed under: Ictidomys tridecemlineatus (thirteen-lined ground squirrel)
Lineage: Eukaryota; Metazoa; Chordata; Mammalia; Rodentia; Sciuridae
Description: Spermophilus tridecemlineatus (thirteen-lined ground squirrel) tRNA
Rfam family: tRNA
About the family: Transfer RNA (tRNA) molecules are approximately 80 nucleotides in length. Their secondary structure includes four short double-helical elements and three loops (D, anti-codon, and T loops).
Source: Rfam by way of RNAcentral